RNAcentral lists this long non-coding RNA (200 nucleotides) under Elaeis guineensis (African oil palm). Its description in RNAcentral is "long non-coding RNA (EGUI_LNC068813)". The record is from RNAcentral. Lineage: Eukaryota; Viridiplantae; Streptophyta; Magnoliopsida; Arecales; Arecaceae.
CUCAAUGCCCCUUUUGAAGAGCCCCACGCCUCUCUUUCUCUUCUCUCCUCUCUUCUCCUUUGAAGUUCCAACGCCCAAGCAUUGGGCAUCCUUCUUCUUCCAUGCCCAAAAGAGUUUGGGCAUGCCUCUUGUUUGCUGAUUUUUAGUCUCUGGUUGCUUCAUAAUCUAGAAAAGAAAAGCAAGAGAAAAAGCGAAGAAGA